GCAACCAGUUGCUCUACAUACCUAACCAUGGCAUUUAAUUUAAAUUAUAAUACUUGGAUAUUUAUUUAGGGCGCAGUUUCUUUAGUAAUACUUUACAUAACUAUGACACCAUCGUACAAUUGUAUUUGUUAUCCGAUAUUAUGGAAUAUAUGCCACUUUAUAUGAAGAUAUACACAUCAUAAGUGGUUUAUAGUUAUAUCAUGCACAACAUAAAGGAGUUUGGUUUACCCAAAUAUUUGAAAGAAACUACAUGAACACAUCUAUAAGAACUGCCUACAACAUUCUUAUCAAAUUACCUGUCAUUUGCCUCCUCAUCA
RNAcentral lists this unclassified non-coding RNA (317 nucleotides) under Hevea brasiliensis (rubber tree). The record is from RNAcentral. Lineage: Eukaryota; Viridiplantae; Streptophyta; Magnoliopsida; Malpighiales; Euphorbiaceae.